UACGUAGGGUGCGAGCGUUAAUCGGAAUUACUGGGCGUAAAGCGUGCGCAGGCGGUUAUGUAAGACAGAUGUGAAAUCCCAGGGCUUAACCUUGGAACUGCAUUUGUGACUGCAUAGCUAGAGUACGGUAGAGGGGGAUGGAAUUCCGCGUGUAGCAGUGAAAUGCGUAGAUAUGCGGAGGAACACCGAUGGCGAAGGCAAUCCCCUGGACCUGUACUGACGCUCAUGCACGAAAGCGUGGGGAGCAAACAGG
This 253-nucleotide ribosomal RNA is filed under the name uncultured bacterium. Its description in RNAcentral is "partial 16S ribosomal RNA". It matches the Rfam family "Bacterial small subunit ribosomal RNA", at positions 524 to 776 of the family's 1533-position model. The record is from RNAcentral.